UACGUAGGUCCCGAGCGUUGUCCGGAUUUAUUGGGCGUAAAGCGAGCGCAGGUGGUUUAAUAAGUCUGAUGUAAAAGGCAGUGGCUCAACCAUUGUGUGCAUUGGAAACUGUUAGACUUGAGUGCAGUAGAGGAGGGUGGAAUUCCAUGUGUAGCGGUGAAAUGCGUAGAUAUAUGGAGGAACACCGGUGGCGAAAGCGGCUCUCUGGACUGUAACUGACACUGAGGCUCGAAAGCGUGGGUAGCAAACAGG
Molecule: ribosomal RNA, 252 nt
Filed under: uncultured microorganism
Description: partial 16S ribosomal RNA
Rfam family: Bacterial small subunit ribosomal RNA
Source: RNAcentral